RNAcentral lists this long non-coding RNA (1017 nucleotides) under Neogobius melanostomus (round goby). RNAcentral's name for it is "lncRNA (ENSNMLG00000016961.1)". Lineage: Eukaryota; Metazoa; Chordata; Actinopteri; Gobiiformes; Gobiidae. The record is from RNAcentral.
AUGUGUUAUUUACAGUUUGUUUGUAUUCAUUCCCAGGCCGUGAAUAAUUUUACAAAGGAGCAAAUCUGCAGCCAAAGCUUUAAAAGUACACCCAGCACUUCCAGAUCCCAAGAUUGUACUCCUCGACCAAGUCCUGCCCCCACCCCACCACCUCAGAGCCAGCCUGAGAAGUCACAGGUAGCAGACAUACACCCAGUUAUCAGUUCUGACUCACCUCCCAGCUCAUCCAGCACCUCCCUAAAUGUUGUGAAAGUUCUUAAUGAGAUACCUGAGAAAGAGGCUGAUCUGAAGAAAAACAGUUCACCUGCAGCAAGCCCCUCUGUGCUGGUUCCAGACGCAGACCUCUGUGAUACUGGGCCGCAGCCAACUCCACUUGUGACCACAGAUACACAAGCAGUGGUAGAAGAUUCUAAAUCAGGUUCCACAUCACAGUGUGAUGAGGCCCCACUCUGGGACAGAUCCACUUCAGUGAGUGUCAGUGAGGGCUGGACUGCAAUAAGUACCCAUCCUCCUGCUUCCUCAACGUCCACAUUUUUACUUCCUCAUUCUCCUAAUAUCACCCCUUCACAUUUUCAAACAAUCCUGCAACAGCAGCCUCUGAGUAGUUACCCUCCUGGUUUCUCCAUAACCGCACCCCUGUGGCCUUCAGGGUCCAGCCCCCAGGGGACACCCAUCCCUGCCUACACCUCAUCACCCAUCCCCCUCUCCUCCCCAAAGAGUUUAUGCUGUACCACAGAAGGAACACAGAAAGGACCCCUCCAAGAGGACCAUCGUACAAUGCAUCAUGUCUCUAUAGUUCAAAGUCCCGUAGAUCUAAAAGCCCUCGUUCUUCCAGCAGAUCACCCUCUCGAUCCAGGUCCCACGACAGAACGCGACAUUAUUCCCCGUACUCCAGUCACAGAGGCCCGUCCAGUCGCUCUCACUCGUCCCGUUCAUACAGCCACAAGCGCGCUCACUCGCCAACCACUACCUCUCCUCCAAAUUCACAUUCCCAGGUCAGGUCAAGAUCACCGGUAG